GGUAGCGUGUCCGAGCGGCCGAAGGAGCGCGCCUCGAAAGCGCGUGACGGGCAACCCCCGUCCGUGGGUUCAAAUCCCACCGCUACCGC
Molecule: transfer RNA, 89 nt
Filed under: Amycolatopsis minnesotensis
Lineage: Bacteria; Bacillati; Actinomycetota; Actinomycetes; Pseudonocardiales; Pseudonocardiaceae
Also listed under: 1 other name
Description: tRNA-Ser
Rfam family: tRNA
About the family: Transfer RNA (tRNA) molecules are approximately 80 nucleotides in length. Their secondary structure includes four short double-helical elements and three loops (D, anti-codon, and T loops). Further hydrogen bonds mediate the characteristic L-shaped molecular structure. tRNAs have two regions of fundamental functional importance: the anti-codon, which is responsible for specific mRNA codon recognition, and the 3' end, to which the tRNAs corresponding amino acid is attached (by aminoacyl-tRNA synthetases). tRNAs cope with the degeneracy of the genetic code in two manners: having more than one tRNA (with a specific anti-codon) for a particular amino acid; and 'wobble' base-pairing, i.e. permitting non-standard base-pairing at the 3rd anti-codon position.
Source: RNAcentral